This 407-nucleotide ribosomal RNA is filed under the name uncultured bacterium. RNAcentral's name for it is "partial 16S ribosomal RNA". It matches the Rfam family "Bacterial small subunit ribosomal RNA", at positions 28 to 526 of the family's 1533-position model. The record is from RNAcentral.
GAUGAACGCUGGCGGCGUGCCUAAUACAUGCAAGUCGAACGAGUGGCGAACGGGUGAGUAACACGUGGGAAACCUACCCUUCAGCGGGGGAUAACCAUCGGAAACGAUGACUAAUACCGCAUACUGAAGGAUGGUUCCGCGGUGCAUUAGCUAGAAGGGGGGGGAACGGCCUACCGUGGCUUUGAUGCAUAGCCGACCUGAGAGGGUGAUGGGCCACAGUGGGAUGGAUACACGGCCCAAACUCUGACGGGAGGCAGCAGGAGGGAAGCGCCCGCAAUGGACGCAAGUCUGACGGAGCAACGCCGCGUGUGUGAAGAAGGUCUUCGGAUCGUAAAGCACUGUUAUCAGAGAAGCGGUACCUAAUCAGAAAGCCACGGCUAACUCCGUGCCAGCAGCCGCGGUAAUAC